UUGGAAGUGAUGAUACCUGUGACCCUUGACAUCCUGCUGAUUCUCUUGUAUUCGUACUGACUGAUCCCA
This 69-nucleotide small nucleolar RNA is filed under the name Procavia capensis (Cape rock hyrax). The record is from RNAcentral. Lineage: Eukaryota; Metazoa; Chordata; Mammalia; Hyracoidea; Procaviidae.